RNAcentral lists this ribosomal RNA (153 nucleotides) under uncultured Actinomycetes bacterium. Its description in RNAcentral is "uncultured actinobacterium partial 16S ribosomal RNA". It matches the Rfam family "Bacterial small subunit ribosomal RNA", at positions 380 to 539 of the family's 1533-position model. The record is from RNAcentral. Lineage: Bacteria; Bacillati; Actinomycetota; Actinomycetes.
ACUCUGAUCAGCGACGCCGCGUGAGGGAUGAAGGCCUUCGGGUUGUAAACCUCUUUCAGCAGGGAAGAAGCGAAAGUGAAGGUACCUGCAGAAGAAGCACCGGCUAACUAUGUGCCAGCCGCCGCGAUAAUAGGCCACCAGCCCCGGUAUAAA